Capsicum annuum is the source of this 764-nucleotide long non-coding RNA. RefSeq lists it as uncharacterized. The transcript is spliced from 2 exons. The record is from RefSeq and is a predicted model, not a curated record. NCBI's taxonomy places the organism in Eukaryota, Viridiplantae, Streptophyta, Magnoliopsida, Solanales, Solanaceae.
AGUUAUUUCACAUAAAGCUUCUACUACGGUCCCCGAGUAUAGAUCUAGUUUGAGACUUUCCCACUCUUGCCAUAGUGAUUUUUCAUUCACGGUGGAAGAUAUUAUACAGGAUCAUUGACGAUCGUCAACCACAUAUAUAGAUCUGGAGAAUAAUUCCGACCAUCUCGUAGGAAUAGAAUUUCCGACCAUCCCGUCGGAAGAAAUUUUAAAGUUGCGGCAAAUAUUUCCGACCAUCCUCUCUCCAUCUCCUGUGCUAUAAGGACCAGAUCUGACCGGUACUUCAAGUCUGAUGCAUCUUCCACGGUGGCUUGCGGCGUACAUUUUUCUGGUAAACACGCAUUUUUCGGCGAUCGAGUUCAAGGACGGUAUCAGCAGUAGGGGAAGGCGACAACAACAAUUUCAGCAACCAAUUUCUACAUCAAAUUGUCAGAAUCCGACCAACCGAUUCAAGAAAACAUCCUCAGUUUCAUCUUCUCCCCGGAUCAAGUGCACUCGUUUCAUCUCUUCUAGUUCAUUUGAUCUAAGUUUCUUGACUAUUGGAGACAGAUGCGUCCCGUCUAGUUCGAUAUAUAUAUUUUCAGUCCUUUCUCUCUUGAUUUCUUGUCUAAUUAUCUUGACGGUUCUUGUGGAAUUAGUGACUCCUAUUUUUCUGUUACGUAGUAGGAGUUAGUUGAGACUAGCAUAUCUAUUUCCUGAUUUUUUUGCUUUUGGUAUACGUGGUGGUUUAAUUCUUGAUUCUUCCUGGGAGAUUUUAUUCAUUAUUA